GAUGAACGCUAGCUACAGGCUUAACACAUGCAAGUCGCGGGGCAGCAUGGGGGUUGCUUGCACUCCCCGAUGGCGACCGGCGCACGGGUGAGUAACGCGUAUCCAACCUGCCCUUCACCACGGGAUAACCCGGCGAAAGUCGGACUAAUACCGUAUGUUGUCCAUUGACGGCAUCCGAUUUGGACGAAAGGUUUGGCGGUGAAGGAUGGGGAUGCGUCCGAUUAGCUGGACGGCGGGGUGACGGCCCACCGUGGCGACGAUCGGUAGGGGUUCUGAGAGGAAGGGCCCCCACACUGGAACUGAGACACGGUCCAGACUCCUACGGGAGGCAGCAGUUAGGAAUAUUGGGCAAAGGGCGGUAGCCUGAACCAGCCAAGUAGCGUGCAGGAUGACGGCCCUAUGGGGUGUAAACUGCUUUUAUGCGGGGAUAAAGUGGCCCACGUGUGGGUUUUUGCAGGUACCGCAUGAAUAAGGACCGGCUAAUUCCGUG
RNAcentral lists this ribosomal RNA (490 nucleotides) under uncultured bacterium. RNAcentral describes it as "partial 16S ribosomal RNA". It matches the Rfam family "Bacterial small subunit ribosomal RNA", at positions 28 to 507 of the family's 1533-position model. The record is from RNAcentral.